Molecule: ribosomal RNA, 460 nt
Filed under: uncultured bacterium
Lineage: Bacteria
Description: partial 16S ribosomal RNA
Rfam family: Bacterial small subunit ribosomal RNA
Source: RNAcentral
CCUACGGGUGGCUGCAGUGAGGAAUAUUGGUCAAUGGACGAGAGUCUGAACCAGCCAAGUCGCGUGAAGGAAGACUGUCCUAUGGGUUGUAAACUUCUUUUAUAUGGGAGCAAAAUGAUCCACGUGUGGGAGUUGGUAUGUACCAGAUGAACAAGGAUCGGCUAACUCCGUGCCAGCAGCCGCGGUAAUACGGAGGAUGCGAGCGUUAUCCGGAUUUAUUGGGUUUAAAGGGAGCGUAGGUGGAUUGUUAAGUCAGUUGUGAAAGUUUGGGGCUCAACCGCAAAAUGGCAGUUGAAACUGGUAGUCUUGAGUACAGGAGAGGUAGGCGGAAUUCGUGGUGUAGCGGUGAAAUGCUUAGAUAUCACGAAGAACUCCGAUUGCGAAGGCAGCUUACUGGACUGCAACUGACGCUGAGGCACGAAAGCGUGGGUAUCAAACAGGAUUAGAUACCCCAGUAGUC